GACGAACCGUGCGAACGUUGUUCGGAAUCACUGGGCUUAAAGGGCGCGUAGGUGGCGCCGCAAGUCCAUGGUGAAAGCUCGAUGCUCAACAUCGAGUCGGCCACGGAGACUGCGGGGCUCGAGCACUGUAGGGGCAGAUGGAAUUCCGGGUGUAGCGGUGGAAUGCGUAGAGAUCCGGAAGAACACCGGUGGCGAAGGCGGUCUGCUGGGCAGUUGCUGACACUGAGGCGCGACAGCGUGGGGAGCAAACAGG
This 253-nucleotide ribosomal RNA is filed under the name uncultured bacterium. RNAcentral's name for it is "partial 16S ribosomal RNA". It matches the Rfam family "Bacterial small subunit ribosomal RNA", at positions 524 to 776 of the family's 1533-position model. The record is from RNAcentral.